UCGGGAAUUUUGGGCAAUGGGCGAAAGCCUGACCCAGCAACGCCGUGUGAAGGAUGAAGUAUUUCGGUAUGUAAACUUCGUAAGAAUAGGAAGAAUAAAUGACGGUACUAUUUGUAAGGUCCGGCUAACUACGUGCCAGCAGCCGCGGUAAUACGUAGGGACCAAGCGUUGUUCGGAAUUACUGGGCGUAAAGCGCACGUAGGCGGAUUGACAAGUCAGGGGUGAAAUCCCGGGGCUCAACCUCGGAACUGCCUCUGAUACUGUCAGUCUAGAGUCCGGAAGAGGUGGGUGGAAUUCCUAGUGUAGAGGUGAAAUUCGCAGAUAUUAGGAAGAACACCGGUGGCGAAGGCGGCCCACUGGUCCGGUACUGACGCUGAGGUGCGAAAGCGUGGGGAGCAAACAGGAUUAGAUACCCUAGUAGUCCCUGAGCGGGCUGGCAAGGCGCAU
This 447-nucleotide ribosomal RNA is filed under the name uncultured bacterium. Its description in RNAcentral is "bacterial SSU rRNA". It matches the Rfam family "Bacterial small subunit ribosomal RNA", at positions 355 to 825 of the family's 1533-position model. The record is from RNAcentral.